GUCGUCACGGGCGUCGGAGGAGUCGGGGGCGUCGGCGGGAUAAACGGCGGGAUAAAGGGAGGCGGGCACGGGAAGAACGGUCGCUGCUGUUGGGGCGGCAGCACGAUCUUGAUCUUGCACGUGCAUCGGUUCUUGCUCUUUUUGUUCUCGUGUCCCUUGCCCAUUUUCUUCUCUGUUUGUGUGAUUUCCGGUUCGGUUUGUCUUUCUUCUUCUUUUCUGUCCGGUCUAGAGUGUCGGUGCGCAGACAGAGAGCGGCGAAAGGGAGCGAGCGGGGGGGGG
RNAcentral lists this long non-coding RNA (279 nucleotides) under Pandoravirus neocaledonia. RNAcentral's name for it is "hypothetical ncRNA". The record is from RNAcentral.